CAGUAGCCGCGGGAAUACGGAGGGGGCUAGCGUUGUUCGGAAUUACUGGGCGUAAAGCGCACGUAGGCGGCUUGGUAAGUUAGAGGUGAAAGCCCGGAGCUCAACUCCGGAAUUGCCUUUAAGACUGCAGAGCUAGCAGGUGAGAGAGGUGAGUGGAAUUCCGAGUGUAGAGGUGAAAUUCGUAGAUAUUCGGAAGAACACCAGUGGCGAAGGCGGCUCACUGGCUCAUACUGGACGCUGAGGUGCGAAAGCGUGGGGAGCAAACAGGAUUAGAUACCCCCGUAGUCCCUGUCUCUUAUAA
Molecule: ribosomal RNA, 301 nt
Filed under: uncultured bacterium
Lineage: Bacteria
Description: partial 16S ribosomal RNA
Rfam family: Bacterial small subunit ribosomal RNA
Source: RNAcentral